This 253-nucleotide ribosomal RNA is filed under the name uncultured bacterium. RNAcentral's name for it is "partial 16S ribosomal RNA". It matches the Rfam family "Bacterial small subunit ribosomal RNA", at positions 524 to 776 of the family's 1533-position model. The record is from RNAcentral.
UACAGAGGUCUCAAGCGUUGUCCGGAAUUAUUGGGCGUAAAGAGCUCGUAGGCGGUUUGUCGCGUCUGCUGUGAAAACUCGGGGCUUAACCCUGGGCCUGCAGUGGGUACGGGCAGACUAGAGUGCGGUAGGGGAGACUAGAAUUCCUGGUGUAGCGGUGAAAUGCGCAGAUAUCAGGAGGAACACCGGUGGCGAAGGCGGGUCUCUGGGCCGUAACUGACGCUGAGGAGCGAAAGCGUGGGGAGCGAACAGG